Molecule: long non-coding RNA, 295 nt
Filed under: Rattus norvegicus (Norway rat)
Lineage: Eukaryota; Metazoa; Chordata; Mammalia; Rodentia; Muridae
Description: long non-coding RNA NONRATT009078
Source: RNAcentral
ACUCUUUAGCUCGCCAUGCAGACAUCCUUGCUGCUGUGGAAACGCGGCUGUCACUGUUAAACAUGACCUUCAUGAAGUAUGUGGACUCCAACCUCUGUUGCUUCAUCCCAGGAAAGGUAACCGGUGCUACACACCCAGAAGCUGGCCGCUCAGUGCAGACGGAGUGCAGGCAGAGACUGACGCACUGUUUGGGAUAUAGAACUACUUAACCUGAAGGAGUUUCUAUUAGUGGCUAUAUUUAACUUUUUGUACCGUUUUUAAAUGUAUCAUUCAUGUGACCCUAACAUUUAAAAUU